GUUUUUUAAAAUCCUUGAGGAAUCAGCAUUUACUAAUUAAAAAUUAACUAUCACAUAAUUUUCAGAUGUCUUGUCAAAACGGUCACAGUGAACCCAUAAAUAUUCAAACGAAUGGUAAUGGUAGUAGCGCACACACGAAUAUAGAUGAAACCGAUAAAAGUGGACUUUCUAUGAAUGUGAGAUUAACAACAACCUCGUCUAUAGAUCACCCACCAGUACCACCAUCUCCAACAAAAAGUUCUUCACUUAAACGUAAUACAAGUCACGGAAAUCUAAUGCCGGCCGAAACUAAAGAAACCCGAGUUAAGGUUAUCUAUACGGGAGGCACUAUAGGAAUGGUGAGAAAUGAAAGAAAUGUUUUAGCUCCUAUACCCAAUGCUUUGGUUAAACGUAUACGCAAAUAUCCCAAUAUGCAUGAUGAAGAAUAUGCUCAGAAGAGAUUUGGCCAGUCGGCCUCUAUGGCCCCCUUAGUUUUACCCUAUGUGAAGGGUGAAAGUAAUCGUGUUAUUUAUCAAAUAACGGAAUAUAUACCUCUAUUGGAUUCUAGCAACAUGACCAUGUAUGAUUGGGCUAGAAUAGCCAAUGACAUUUAUCAAUCUUAUGAAUUCUUUGAUGGCUUUGUGGUUUUACAUGGCACCGAUACUUUAUCCUAUACUGCAUCAGCCUUAUCAUUCAUGUUAGAGAAUCUCGGCAAAACUGUGAUAAUAACCGGUUCUCAAAUACCCAUUUUUGAGACACGCACUGAUGGCAAAGAUAACUUUACCUCGGCUUUAAUAAUUGCUGGCAAUUAUGUUAUACCCGAGGUUUGUGUUUUCUUUGGGAAUAAACUGAUGCGCGGCAAUCGUACUGUUAAAGUAAGCUCCUGUUCUUUGGAUGCUUUCGAUUCGCCUAAUGUUCCUGCUUUAGCUCAUAUUGGCAUUAAUGUGGAUGUUGAUUAUAGAUUAAUCUUUAGACCCUGUAAGAUUUCGAAAUUUUUUGUACAUUCUGAAUUAGAUGAAAAUGUGGGCAUUUUGCGCAUAUUUCCUAGUAUUUCUACCUCAACAUUUAGAGCAUUUUUGGCUCCACCCAUGAAGGGUGUUGUUUUGCAGUCAUUUGGUUCUGGUAAUGUACCAGAUAAUCGUAAAGAUUUGCUUAAGGAAUUAAAGGAUGCCUCCGAAAGGGGAGUGAUUAUAGUAAAUUGCACUCAAUGUCCUAACGGUUCGGUGUCGGAAAUCUAUGAGACAGGAAAAGUAUUAUUUGACCUAGGUGUUUUGCCCGGCUUCGAUAUGACCCCCGAGGCGGCCUUAACUAAAUUGUCCUAUGUAUUGGGUAAAAGUGAAUGGCCUUUGGAUAUAAAGAAACAGAUGAUGCAAUCAAAUCUAAGAGGAGAACUGACUUCUACUUCAGGACCUAAAAUGGAAGAAUACGAUCUAGUGGAUGCGGUGGCCAGAUCUUUGCAUUUAUCUUCACCCCAAGAACUAAGCCAACUGGGCGCUACUCUAUUUCCUGCUAUGAUGAACGCAGCUGUUGUAGCCGGAGACUUACAAAAGAUCAAUAACCUAAAAGCUUAUGGCGCUGACCUUUCGGGAGUGAAUCAAGAUCAUCGUACUGCUUUACAUUUGGCCUGUAUCGAAGGCAAUAUUUCAGUGGUUAAACAUUUGCUAUUAAAUGGUGUCUCUGUACACAUAAGAGAUCGCUAUGAACGCACCCCUCUGAUAGAGGCAAUUACCAAUGAUAAUCAUGAUAUUAUACAAAUGCUCAUUAACUGUGGUGCUCAUUUAACCGGUUCAUCUAGAGCAGUGGGUGAACAACUAUGCGCCGCAGCCGCCAGAGGUUCUCUAACUCGCAUCAAAUCUUAUCAAUUGGCCGGAGCCGACCUAUCACAACCAGACCCUUCCGGCCGCACACCCCUUCAUGUGGCUGCAUUGCAUGGCCAUGAGGAAAUUGUGCAAUAUUUACUUCAAUAUAUGGAUACAACAAAUGAAACUGAUAUGUUAGGACUCACCGCUUUGGAUUAUGCUUUGAAGGCUGACCAGCAAGAUGUUGCUGUGAUGCUGAAUAAAUUUGCUACACAAUGAGUUGUAAAAUUUGCAGGACAAACAAAAACAUAAAAUAACACUAUUAAGUAAAUACUUUUACACACACACACAUAUGUUAUACAAAAACACAAACUUUUAAACAAGCACUUUUUCCCGUCACUCUCUUUUGCUCUAGAAAAAAAACUACUAUUGAUAACGGUAACUAAAUACAUAGUUGCAUUUCUUAGAGAAGGUAAAAUGUUGUAAUCGAAAUGGAGCAGGGAAAAUCGGUUAAGUGUGAUAUUUAUUUUUGAAUAAGUGUUUAAAUUUAAAUAAUUUCAUGUUAAUAUUUAAUAAAUAAAAUUUAUUAAUGUUAAAAAAAAAA
Molecule: unclassified non-coding RNA, 2382 nt
Filed under: Lucilia cuprina (Australian sheep blowfly)
Lineage: Eukaryota; Metazoa; Arthropoda; Insecta; Diptera; Calliphoridae
Description: l-asparaginase, transcript variant X1
Source: RNAcentral